UUGGGGAAAAUCCCUAAUACAGGCAUUAAGAUUACAGCUGCGGAGAAAUCAGCAAGACGGUCUUGCCAAGACCGAUGACUCAAAUUUUUCUCCAUUUCUCGACUCUCUACUGUAAAACUCCAUUGUUAAGGUGUGUAUUUUCUUGAGUUUCUUAAUCAAGCUAGAAAGAAAAUUCGUUCUCAUCAUCAAAUUGCAACUCUCUGGGGAAAAAAUCCAUUGUUAAGAGAUAUAUAUGGAGGCUAAUGAGGCUUCUUGUGAGAUCAGUUCGUCUAUCUCGAGAAAACGAUAGAAAAGAAACACUUCAAUUGUUUGGAAUACUUUCUCGAAAUUGCCUCGUACUAGUGACAGUGAAAGGUUAAAAGCACAAUGUCAGUUUUGGGUCCUUUGCUUAUUGAGUUUAUCAAGGAAUGGGGCAUUAAAAUGAAGAUUUUCACUCUUACCUUGGACAAUGCUAGUUGCAAUAAUGGUGUAAUAGAUCAUUAAUCUCUGAUGCGUUCUCUAGUUUGUGAUGGAAAGUUCUUCCAUAUUCGUUGUGGUAAUCGUAUCUUGAACUUAAUAGUGAAGGCUGGUUUGGAAAAAGCAGAUGACGCCAUUGAAAAAGUAAGAGAAGGUGUUAAGCACAUUAAAAAUUCAGAAGGAAGAAUAUUAAAGUUUGUGGAAUGCAUUAUGAAUCAUGGGUUGCCAUGUUCGAAGAAGCUUUGUCAAGAUGUAAGUAGUCGGUGGAAUUCCACUUACCAAAUGCUUGAUAGCGCUCUUCUCUGCCAACAAGCUUAUAUUCAAUAUAAAUUUCUUGAUAUUGAUUUUAAAUAGUCUUUCCGAUGAGGAAUGGAAAAGGGUAGAGAGUAUUGCUAAAUUCUUGAAGCCAUUUUUUGAGAUUACUACAUUAUUUUCCGGAAGCAAAUAUCCUACUGCAAAUUUGUAUCUUCCAAAUGUAUGGAAAAUUCAAAUGUUGCUAACGGAAGCAAAAAAAAGUAGUGAUCGAGUUAAGAAUGAUAUGACUACUUUGAUGCUAAGAAAGUUUUAAGAAAUAUUGGAGGUCGUAUAGUAUGAUUUUGUCAAUUUCCAUUGUCCUUGACCCUCGAUAUAAAUUGAAGUUUGUGAGGUUUUGUUUCUCCAAGAUAGAUCCUAUGACCGCAGAUGCUAAGGUUGAAAAAGUUGUAGAUCAUUUACAAUUGUUAUUUAGAGAAUGCUUGGUACCUUCAACAACAAUUUCUCUCUUAGGGGAGACCGUUUGUCAUACAAGCAACAAUGAAAUGAGGGAUGAUCUUGAAGAGUUUGAUGUGUUUGAGAAUCAAUUAGAUUCUGGUAGAGAUAAAACACAAUUGGAUUUGUACUUAGAGGAGCCUAAACUUGAUCGGAAAGGGAAUCCAAAUUUAGAUGUACUUGCAUAUUGGAAGGAAAAUAGAGGAAGGUAUACAGAGCUUUCGUUGAUGGCACGAGAUAUCUUGAGCAUACCAAUUGCCACGAUAGCUUCAGAAUCUACCUUUAGCAUUGGAGGUCGUAUUAUUGGAAAGUUUCAAAGUUCUAUUUUACCUUCAAAUGCUGAAGCAAAAUUGUGUGCUAAAGAUUGGCUCUAUGGACAAGAAGAUUGUGAUGGAUCAGACAACGAUGAGGAUGAAAUUUCAGUGGAACUUCAACCGUAUCUUGCUAAACGUGGCUCACAUUGAUAGAGGAGUCCAACAAGAAAUUUGAUGAUUUCAUUAAGAAAAUCAAUCAAGAGAGGUUGCUGCAGAGGCAAGAAUCUGAUCAGCGUGCCCACAGUAUUAAUAUGCUAAAUCGAGCACGAUAAGUGUUUCCUUGUAGACAUGUAACUGAUGGCAUGGAGUUCUUGUGUUCCUCGCAUGAAGCCUGAUGUAAGAUUCCCUAAAUUUCAAAAGAACUUGUGAGAGAGUUUUAUCUGAAAAUUGUAGAAGUUGUAUAUUUCUAGUGUAUGUAGCAGCUCUUCUGAACUUUACAAUGGCAGCUUUUGCAUUCAACAUCAAGUGACUGGUCUAAUUUUGGAGAACAAUAACUUCACUUCAACCUUACUGUUCAAGAACUCCAAGAGAACAAACAAGGACAGUUUUUGCACUAAAAUUUAAUACCAAGAGAAUCCCAUAUACUUAGUAAAGUUAAUACAAGGUAACAGACUAACAGUAGAACAACUUCAGUUAAGGACACAAGAGCUAAUGUCCAACUCAGUGGCUGCAAUUCAAGAUUAUUGAACAAAAAAGAAGAAAUCCCAGCAUCCUGAUGCGCUGUUGGCUGCUGCAGAUCGCCCGUCAAAUAUUAUACUAUUUUGUUUAGUCUCUUGUUUAGCCAUGAGACUGCACUUCUUUGUUUAUAUUUGUAUUGAUUAUUGUAUUUUGAUGUUAAUACUUGAUUUCCACGGAAUGAAUACUGAUCUUUAUCCUUUUAGUAUCAUUUGGAGUACUA
This is a long non-coding RNA of Solanum pennellii, 2415 nucleotides long. RefSeq lists it as uncharacterized. Lineage: Eukaryota; Viridiplantae; Streptophyta; Magnoliopsida; Solanales; Solanaceae. The transcript has 5 exons. The record is from RefSeq and is a predicted model, not a curated record.